AUUUGGCUUAGUUAGGAGGCAAACAUGAACUUGGAGGACCCAGAGAACUCUGUGUCUUCCGAUUGGCUAAGGCCUUUUUGAGGGGACUUUUUUUAGCUGCUAAACCCAGAUCAGAUUGUCCCCCAAGCAGCCUCGGACAUUC
Molecule: small nucleolar RNA, 142 nt
Organism: Syzygium oleosum
Lineage: Eukaryota; Viridiplantae; Streptophyta; Magnoliopsida; Myrtales; Myrtaceae
Product: small nucleolar RNA U19
Exons: 1
Source: RefSeq, a predicted model, not a curated record